RNAcentral lists this ribosomal RNA (253 nucleotides) under uncultured bacterium. RNAcentral's name for it is "partial 16S ribosomal RNA". It matches the Rfam family "Bacterial small subunit ribosomal RNA", at positions 524 to 776 of the family's 1533-position model. The record is from RNAcentral.
UACGUAGGGUGCAAGCGUUAAUCGGAAUUACUGGGCGUAAAGCGUGCGCAGGCGGUUUCGUAAGUCUGUCGUGAAAUCCCCGGGCUUAACCUGGGAAUGGCGAUGGAGACUGCGAGGCUAGAGUUUGGCAGAGGGGGGUAGAAUUCCACGUGUAGCAGUGAAAUGCGUAGAGAUGUGGAGGAACACCGAUGGCGAAGGCAGCCCCCUGGGUCAAGACUGACGCUCAUGCACGAAAGCGUGGGGAGCAAACAGG